RNAcentral lists this ribosomal RNA (253 nucleotides) under uncultured bacterium. RNAcentral describes it as "partial 16S ribosomal RNA". It matches the Rfam family "Bacterial small subunit ribosomal RNA", at positions 524 to 776 of the family's 1533-position model. The record is from RNAcentral.
GACGUAGGGCGCGAGCGUUGUCCGGAUUUAUUGGGCGUAAAGAGCUCGUAGGCGGCUUGUCGCGUCGUUCGUGAAAACUCACAGCUCAACUGUGAGCUUGCAGUCGAUACGGGCAGGCUAGAGUUCGGUAGGGGAGACUGGAAUUCCUGGUGUAGCGGUGAAAUGCGCAGAUAUCAGGAGGAACACCGGUGGCGAAGGCGGGUCUCUGGGCCGAUACUGACGCUGAGGAGCGAAAGCGUGGGGAGCGAACAGG